AUUGAACGCUGGCGGCAGGCCUAACACAUGCAAGUCGAACGGUAACAGAAAGCAGCUUGCUGCUUUGCUGACGAGUGGCGGACGGGUGAGUAAUGUCUGGGAAACUGCCUGAUGGAGGGGGAUAACUACUGGAAACGGUAGCUAAUACCGCAUAACGUCGCAAGACCAAAGAGGGGGACCUUCGGGCCUCUUGCCAUCGGCUGUGCCCAGAUGGGCUUAGCUUGUUGGUGGGGUAACGGCUCACCAAGGCGACGAUCCCUAGCUGGUCUGAGAGGAUGACAAGCCACAUUGAAACGGAGAAAGGGCCAGACUCCUACGGGAGGCAGCAGUGGGGAAUAUUGCACAAUGGGCGCAAGCCUGAUGCAGCCAUGCCGCGUGUAUGAAGAAGGCCUUCGGGUUGUAAAGUACUUUCAGCGGGGAGGAAGGGAGUAAAGUUAAUACCUUUGCUCAUUGACGUUACCCGCAGAAGAAGCACCGGCUAACUCCGUG
This 489-nucleotide ribosomal RNA is filed under the name uncultured bacterium. RNAcentral's name for it is "partial 16S ribosomal RNA". It matches the Rfam family "Bacterial small subunit ribosomal RNA", at positions 30 to 507 of the family's 1533-position model. The record is from RNAcentral.